Myripristis murdjan (pinecone soldierfish) is the source of this 865-nucleotide long non-coding RNA. RefSeq lists it as uncharacterized. The transcript has 3 exons. NCBI's taxonomy places the organism in Eukaryota, Metazoa, Chordata, Actinopteri, Holocentriformes, Holocentridae. The record is from RefSeq and is a predicted model, not a curated record.
GCUUGGAACUAUUUUCUGCUGAAGAGGUGCCAUAUAUCACUACGCACUUGAGCCUCUUCACAUGCCCCACCGGAACAGAGCGCGACCGUUACUUCUUCUGGCUGAAGGUGGUGUUUUCCCGAGAACAGAGACAGAAAACCAAGAAGUACAGACAGAAGAGGAGUUGAUCUUGACUUCCUGGUUUGUGACACAGAGUAGAGAGAUUAAGAGGCUGUAAGAAAAUGCUCCCUCCAGCCAAGUCCUCAGGAUUCUGAAGUUGAGGAUGAGAUUAAGGUGUGGCUACGGAAUUCAAGAGACAGCGGGUGGACGAAUGGAGCGCUAGCAAGAGACUUUGGGGGAAGAGUGAGCUUUGCCAAUCAAUACAUCACCUCAAUUGAAGUAUGGACAUGUUAGCAGCACACAAGAAUAUAUUUUCAGCAUCAGAGGUCAGAGUUUUUGCAGUUUUUGCUUUUUCUUUGUUUGAAGUAUGGGCUGAAAAAUGUGUCACUAGUAACUGAAUUUGAAUCAUUCAUAUUUGAAUUUUGACUGCAGUUCCUCUCAUGUUCCGUUGACCAUGUUUAGUAGGAAGAGCUAGGGGGUCACGAACAAUAGAUAUCAAUAGAUCACCAGGUGAUUUCACUGAUUACCUCACCUUGUAUCAGAAAGGAGGAACCAAUCAGUGAAAUCACCUGGUGGAGGUUUCGGUUGGAAUGAAAACCUGCAGCCUCUUGGCCCUCCAUGGCACCAGUUUGACAACCCUGUCUUAAAUGAAUAAGGCUGCAAUGUGCAGAGUAGAGCAUUUUUCAUUCAGUGUAAUGUGUUUGUAUUUAAUAAAUGAAUUGAUUGGAAUCCUUUUGACUAUUGUACAUUUUUGACAAUGCAUACA